AGUGCAGGCGGUUUUUAAGUCUGAUGUGAAAGCCUUCGGCUUAACCGAAGAAAUGCAUUGGAAACUGGGAAACUUGAGUGCAGAAGAGGAGAGUGGAACUCCAUGUGUAGCGGUGAAAUGCGUAGAUAUAUGGAAGAACACCAGUGGCGAAGGCGGCUCUCUGGUCUGUAACUGACGCUGAGGCUCGAAAGCGUGGUAGCAAACA
RNAcentral lists this ribosomal RNA (205 nucleotides) under uncultured bacterium. RNAcentral's name for it is "partial 16S ribosomal RNA". It matches the Rfam family "Bacterial small subunit ribosomal RNA", at positions 568 to 774 of the family's 1533-position model. The record is from RNAcentral.